ACUCCUACGGGAGGCAGCAGUGGGGAAUAUUGCACAAUGGGCGCAAGCCUGAUGCAGCCAUGCCGCGUGUGUGAAGAAGGCCUUCGGGUUGUAAAGCACUUUCAGUCGUGAGGAAGGUAGUGUAGUUAAUAGCUGCAUUAUUUGACGUUAGCGACAGAAGAAGCACCGGCUAACUCCGUGCCAGCAGCCGCGGUAAUACGGAGGGUGCGAGCGUUAAUCGGAAUUACUGGGCGUAAAGCGCAUGCAGGUGGUUUGUUAAGUCAGAUGUGAAAGCCCGGGGCUCAACCUCGGAAUAGCAUUUGAAACUGGCAGACUAGAGUACUGUAGAGGGGGGUAGAAUUUCAGGUGUAGCGGUGAAAUGCGUAGAGAUCUGAAGGAAUACCGGUGGCGAAGGCGGCCCCCUGGACAGAUACUGACACUCAGAUGCGAAAGCGUGGGGAGCAAACAGGAUUAGAUACCCUGGUAGUCCACGCCGUAAACGAUGUCUACUUGGAGGUUGUGGCCUUGAGCCGUGGCUUUCGGAGCUAACGCGUUAAGUAGACCGCCUGGGGAGUACGGUCGCAAGAUUAAAACUCAAAGGAAUUGACGG
RNAcentral lists this ribosomal RNA (589 nucleotides) under uncultured bacterium. RNAcentral describes it as "bacterial SSU rRNA". It matches the Rfam family "Bacterial small subunit ribosomal RNA", at positions 335 to 916 of the family's 1533-position model. The record is from RNAcentral.